RNAcentral lists this unclassified non-coding RNA (1496 nucleotides) under Drosophila pseudoobscura pseudoobscura. RNAcentral describes it as "GA10677". Lineage: Eukaryota; Metazoa; Arthropoda; Insecta; Diptera; Drosophilidae. The record is from RNAcentral.
UCUGCGAACACCAAGCCAUGGAUCUCUAAGAAGCCGAUCAGUUACAAGUCCGUGGCAAAGAUUCGGAAGGACCAUUCAUUGAGAAAUCCAUUGGCCCGAGAACCCUGCCCUUCUGGAGUUAAUUUUUGUUUACCAAUUAAUACACUACACUAAUCCUGAGACGUCCAAAGCCGAUCUGGAAGCGGGUGCUUUCAGAUCCCUGGUAAAAACUCUGAGAGACACAUCCACGAAUCAAUCGGUUUGAGUUCAAUAUUAUACUACCAUACUAAAUACCAAAUAUACUGAUGGAUACCUGAGACGUUGGAUGCCUUGACAAAAUGUGCAAGGUAUACACUUUUUUAUACACAAAUACAAAUGUAUAUGCCCUCUGCUGUAACUAUUGAUUGGCCCCGAUCGAUAAGUUACGAGAAGUACUCCCAUGAAGAAUGGAAUCUACACAAAUUUCUGGUAAAGACUCUAAGAGACACAUCCACGAAUCAAUCGGUUUGAGUUCAAUAUUAUACUACCAUACUAAAUACCAAAUAUACUGAUGGAUACCUGAGACGUUGGAUGCCUUGACAAAAUGUGCAAGGUAUACACUUUUUUAUACACAAAUACAAAUGUAUAUGCCCUCUGCUGUAACUAUUGAUUGGCCCCGAUCGAUAAGUUACGAGAAGUACUCCCAUGAAGAAUGGAAUCUACACAAAUUUCUGGUAAAGACUCUAAGAGACACAUCCACGAAUCAAUCGGUUUGAGUUCAAUAUUAUACUACCAUACUAAAUACCAAAUAUACUGAUGGAUACCUGAGACGUUGGAUGCCUUGACAAAAUGUGCAAGGUAUACACUUUUUUAUACACAAAUACAAAUGUAUAUGCCCUCUGCUGUAACUAUUGAUUGGCCCCGAUCGAUAAGUUACGAGAAGUACUCCCAUGAAGAAUGGAAUCUACACAAAUUUCUGGUAAAAACUCUGAGAGACACAUCCGUGAAUCAAUCGGUUGGAGUUCAAUAUUAUACUACCAUACUAAGUAUCAAAUAUACUAAUGGAUGGAUCACUGAGACGUUGAAUGCCUUGACAAAAUGUGCAAGGUAUACACUUUUUUAUACACAAAUACAAAUGUAUACGCCCGAAAACAAUGCCCUCUGCUUAAACUAUUGAUUGGCCUCGAACGAUUGGAAAAUAUAAAUCUACAAAAAAGAAAGCAAAGAAUGUACACAAAUCCCUGGUCAAGAAUCGGAAGGACCAUACACGAAUCCGUAAGCGGCAAGUCUAAUUUUUUUCUUUUGGAAAAUCGACACUGAAAAAUUCCUGAGAGGUCACAAGCUAAGGAAAGGAGAAGAUCAAGCCGAGGGAAGAUCCUGGAUACCGGUCACAACAUUGAGAUCUAUGGCAAAUAAUCCAAAGGACAGUUCAACCAGGACACCUGUCUGCUGAAAUCAGCCAAGAAAACUGUACAGGAUCUUUUAGCAAAGACUCCAAGUGACUCUCGAAUUAAUAAAAAUUGUCUGUGUAUAAGAAA